UACGUAGGGUGCGAGCGUUGUCCGGAAUUAUUGGGCGUAAAGAGCUCGUAGGCGGUCUGUCUCGUCGAUCGUGAAAACUUGGGGCUUAACCCUGAGCUUGCGGUCGAUACGGGCAUGACUGGAGUUCGGCAGGGGAGACUGGAAUUCCUGGUGUAGCGGUGAAAUGCGCAGAUAUCAGGAGGAACACCGGUGGCGAAGGCGGGUCUCUGGGCCGAUACUGACGCUGAGGAGCGAAAGCGUGGGGAGCGAACAGG
This 254-nucleotide ribosomal RNA is filed under the name uncultured bacterium. RNAcentral describes it as "partial 16S ribosomal RNA". It matches the Rfam family "Bacterial small subunit ribosomal RNA", at positions 524 to 776 of the family's 1533-position model. The record is from RNAcentral.